RNAcentral lists this transfer RNA (68 nucleotides) under Platycis sp. UPOL A00547. Its description in RNAcentral is "tRNA-Phe". Lineage: Eukaryota; Metazoa; Arthropoda; Insecta; Coleoptera; Lycidae. The record is from RNAcentral. RNAcentral also lists the same sequence under 1 other name.
UUUUAAUAGCUUAUAGUCUAGAGUAUGAUAUUGAAGAUAUUAAGGAGUUAUUUAUUAAUUUAAAAUAU